AUUGAACGCUGGCGGCGUGCCUAACACAUGCAAGUCGAUCGGUAACAGGUGUAGCAAUACAUGCUGACGAGAGGCGGACGGGUGAGUAACGCUUGGGAAUCUGCCUAUUAGUGGGGGGACAACCCGGGGGAAACUCGGGCUAAUACCGCAUACGCUCUACGGAGGAAAGCCGGGGACCGCAAGGCCUGGCGCUAAUAGAUGAGCCCAAGUCGGAUUAGCUAGUUGGUAGGGUAACGGCCUACCAAGGCGACGAUCCGUAGCUGGUCUGAGAGGACGACCAGCCACACUGGGACUGAGACACGGCCCAGACUCCUACGGGUGGCAG
This 325-nucleotide ribosomal RNA is filed under the name uncultured Pseudomonadota bacterium. RNAcentral's name for it is "bacterial SSU rRNA". It matches the Rfam family "Bacterial small subunit ribosomal RNA", at positions 30 to 351 of the family's 1533-position model. Lineage: Bacteria; Pseudomonadati; Pseudomonadota. The record is from RNAcentral.